GAUGAACGCUAGCGGCAGGCCUAAUACAUGCAAGACGAACGGUAAGUUGAGUAGCAAUACUUAGCCAAGAGUGUCGUACGGGUGCGUAACACGUAUGCAACCUACCCUAUACAGGAGGAUAGCCUAGGGAAACCUGGAUUAACCCUUCAUAGUAUUAUUGGAUGGCAUCAUUGAUAAUUAAAACUGAGGUGGUAUAGGAUGGGCAUGCGUCUGAUUAGUUAGUUGGCGGGUAAUGGCCCACCAAGACGAUGAUCAGUAGGGGUUCUGAGAGGAAGAUCCCCCACACUGGCACUGAGAUACGGGCCAGACUCCUACGGGAGGCAGCAGUAGGGAAUAUUGGUCAAUGGAUGCAAGUCUGAACCAGCCAUGCCGCGUGCAGGAAGAAGGCCUUCGUGGGUUGUAAACUGUCUUUUAGUCGGGAAUAAACCGUGCUUACGUGUAAGUAGCUGAAUGUA
RNAcentral lists this ribosomal RNA (455 nucleotides) under uncultured bacterium. Its description in RNAcentral is "bacterial SSU rRNA". It matches the Rfam family "Bacterial small subunit ribosomal RNA", at positions 28 to 477 of the family's 1533-position model. The record is from RNAcentral.